This 660-nucleotide long non-coding RNA is filed under the name Monodelphis domestica (gray short-tailed opossum). RNAcentral describes it as "lncRNA (ENSMODG00000035958.2)". The record is from RNAcentral. Lineage: Eukaryota; Metazoa; Chordata; Mammalia; Didelphimorphia; Didelphidae.
CUUGGAGCCUUUCCAGAUCAGUAGGUACUGUGAAAUGGGCAGCUCCGCACCACUGAGAGGGCACUGGAGGAUUUCAGUGGAGGCUUUUCUCCAUACCGGAUGUCCAAAAAAGAGACGAGAGAAAAGAUGCAGAGAUUAGACUCUGGAAUUCCCCAGUUCCAGUUGAUAUGUCUUGUCUUGCAAUGUUAGACCUGAAUGAAGAAGAACUUCUGUGACCUCUCUUGUCCCAGUGAGCAGUAAAUUCCACUCAUGGUCAGGCCAGGUUAACGUUCCGUGGGCAUUUGAUUUCUCCACUGGCUGAACACAGUAAAUAUCGAAGCUAGACCUCAUCCUGUAAUGUUAUGCCCAUUUCUGGGCUACGUUUUUGGAAGGACACUGACAAUCUCUGCGUGUGUACAAGAAGAAAUUGACCAGAAUAAUAAGGGGACUGGAAACUCUGCCCAAACAGGACCAGCUGAAGGGUCAUUGAUAAAAAUGGGAAACAACAAGGAACUAAACACAGAUCCAUGGGAAUCAUCACUGGAAAUGUUCAACAGAAACCUUCUGCUGAGUAUUAAUUGAGUCUUUGAAUUGAGUCAGAUCCCUAUCUAAUUAUAUUGUGAUCUAACCUACACCUCUUCAUAGUCUCCAAAGGAACAGUAGGAGAUAAUUGAUCAGAUG